GAACGGCAACGUCUCCUUAAAGCUGACCAGAGUUACUCUCUCUGAUACUGGAAGCUACAGGUGCCUCAUUCCAACACUGACCAGCCAGGUGAAGGAAACCACCGUUCAACUCUUUGUUGGUGCUGUAUCUCAGCCAGUGAUCUCUGUUGAUGGAACUAAAGACUGGGGGUGGUCCUGAAGUGUGAGUCUGGAGGCUGGUUUCCUGAACCUGAGAUGGAGUGGCUGGACAGUUCUGGAACCAUCCUCCCUGCUGAUGGACCUCCAGAGAGACACAGAGACUCAGAGGGCCUCUACACUGUGAGACAACAUGUCACCGUGAACAAGACUGACACCAACAGGUUCACCUGUAGAGUUCACCAGCAGGAGAUCAACCACCUGAAGGAGACAGAGAUUCAUGUCCCAGAUGACGUGUUUCCUAAAUCACACAUAGGGUUGAUUAUUGGUCUGUCAAUACUAUUAGCUGUUGUAGUUCUCGCAGCUUCAGCUGGUGUCUACAAGUGGAGAAAACAUACAGAGAAGAAGCUACUGGAAGAAAUAUUAAAGGACUUUAAAUUGGCACAGGAAAAGAGGCGUGAUGCCCUGGUUGUGGACAUUCACAGGGUUCACCUCAGUCAGAAUGUUACCUUGGUGAUUCCCAUAGCAUUUUUCUUGAUCCGUUCUGAGAGGUACUCUGAGAUCCAUCCUGCCAGGACCAGAAAGGACCAGAUGAAACUGUUGUACCAGGCUCUAGAAGAAGCAGAAGACACAAGACGGAUGAAAUCAGACUUUUACCGGAUUCUACUGGAUCUGGAACCUGAUCUUCUCAUCGAUCUGGGUGCCACAUUUGUGGACGUCAAUAAGGAUCAACUCAUUCAGAAGGUUACCAAGGUGAAGCCCAUCCUUCUUGAGCUGUUCUAUGAGAAGUUGUACUGUAACACCAGGAUCCACCAGAUGACCAGCCAGGACCAGAUGAGACAGUUGUACCAGGCCCUAGAAGAAGCAGACGAUCCAAGAAGGGUGAAAUUAGACAUUUACCGGAUUCUACUGGAUCUGGAACCUGACCUUGUCAUCAACCGGGAGGAGGUUAGAAAACUACUGGAACAACAAGUGAAGAACUUGAAAUUGAUUAGGGAAGUGAAGCAUGGACUGAAAGAAGAACAUAAGUCUGAGAGGAUUGAAGGGAUGGAGAUGAAGUCUUUACCUGGUUCAGGGUCUUUACCUGAGAAGAGGCCUUUACUGGCUGCUGGACCACAGAAUGAUGAUCUGGAUGAGAUGGAGAGGGGAGGAAGAGUUACUACAGACAAUAACUCUAUGCUAUAAGGUUACUAUAGAGAGACUAACUUUCUAUAGAGACCUGUCCCACCUAACAAAGCUGAGUUUCUGAGUAUAUAACUGAGUGAUAUGAAUCUUGGUAAGACAAAGUCAUCUGAUAAACGUGUCAGUCAGUUCUCUAUAAUCCACUUCCAGUAGUUCUUUACUUUUUGAAGUUUUACUACCCAUGUCUGUUAUGGGUUUAUAUCCAUUUCCUGGUUAUUCUAUAUAUGUUUUCCCCAUAAACAAUGUCUUUCUGAUCUCCCUCAGGAACUGAUAGAGUUGAAUUGAAUGGAAUGAUGGACUAAUGUCUCCUGUUAGAAUCUGUUACAGACUCUGAUGAUGGAACAAGUGAACAAGACUGAUAAAACCAUUUGUUGAAAUGUUUAUAUUUCUAUUGUAACUUCAACCUGUCAGCUUCUAUUGUAGCUUCAACCUGUCAGCUUCUAUUAUAGCUUCAACCUGCCAGCUUCUAUUGUAGCUUCAACCUGUCAGCUUCUAUUGUAGCUUCAACCUGUCAGCUUCUAUUGU
RNA transcript from Oncorhynchus tshawytscha (Chinook salmon), 1821 nucleotides. RefSeq lists it as uncharacterized. Lineage: Eukaryota; Metazoa; Chordata; Actinopteri; Salmoniformes; Salmonidae. The record is from RefSeq and is a predicted model, not a curated record. The transcript is spliced from 12 exons.